Molecule: ribosomal RNA, 911 nt
Filed under: uncultured archaeon
Lineage: Archaea
Description: bacterial SSU rRNA
Rfam family: Archaeal small subunit ribosomal RNA
Source: RNAcentral
UCYGGUUGAUCCUGCCRGACCCGACUGCUAUCAGAGUGGGACUAAGCCAUGCGAGUCAACGUAGAAAUACGUGGCAAACGGCUCAGUAACACGUAGUCAACGUGCCCAGGGGACGUGGAUAACCUCGGGAAACUGAGGAUAAACCGCGAUAGGCCAUGAUUUCUGGAAUGGUUCAUGGCCGAAAUCUAUAUGGCCCCUGGAUUGGACUGCGGCCGAUCAGGCUGUUGGUGAGGUAAUGGCCCACCAAACCUGUAACCGGUACGGGCUCUGAGAGGAGGAGCCCGGAGAUGGGCACUGAGACAAGGGCCCAGGCCCUAUGGGGCGCAGCAGGCGCGAAAUCUCUGCAAUAGGCGAAAGCUUGACAGGGUUACUCUGAGUGAUUCCCGCUAAGGGGAUCUUUUGGCACCUUUAAAAAUGGUGCAGAAUAAGGGGUGGGCAAGUCUGGUGUCAGCCGCCGCGGUAAUACCAGCACCCCGAGUGGUCGGGACGAUUAUUGGGCCUAAAGCAUCCGUAGCCGGUACUGCAAGUCUUCCGUUAAAUCCACCUGCUUAACAGUUGGGCUGCGGGGGAUACUACAGCGCUAGGAGGCGGGAGAGGCAAGCGGUACUCAAUGGGUAGGGGUAAAAUCCACUGAUCCAUUGAAGACCACCAGUGGCGAAGGCGGCUUGCCAGAACGCGCUCGACGGUGAGGGAUGAAAGCUGGGGGAGCAAACCGGAUUAGAUACCCGGGUAGUCCCAGCUGUAAACGAUGCAGACUCGGUGAUGGGUUGGCUUCGCGCCAACCCAGUGCCGCAGGGAAGCCGUUAAGUCUGCCGCCUGGGGAGUACGGUCGCAAGACUGAAACUUAAAGGAAUUGGCGGGGGAGCACCACAAGGGGUGAAGCCUGCGGUUCAAUUGGABUCAACGCCGGR